This 402-nucleotide ribosomal RNA is filed under the name uncultured bacterium. Its description in RNAcentral is "bacterial SSU rRNA". It matches the Rfam family "Bacterial small subunit ribosomal RNA", at positions 355 to 774 of the family's 1533-position model. The record is from RNAcentral.
UAAGGAAUAUUGCUCAAUGGGAGAAAUCCUGAAGCAGCAACGCCGCGUGAGUGAUGAAGGCCUUCGGGUUGUAAAGCUCUGUCUUUUGGGACGAUAAUGACGGUACCAAAGGAGGAAGCCACGGCUAACUACGUGCCAGCAGCCGCGGUAAUACGUAGGGUGCAAGCGUUAAUCGGAAUUACUGGGCGUAAAGCGUGCGCAGGCGGUUCGGAAAGAAAGGUGUGAAAUCCCAGGGCUUAACCUUGGAACUGCACUUUUAACUACCGGGCUAGAGUACGUCAGAGGGGGGUAGAAUUCCACGUGUAGCAGUGAAAUGCGUAGAGAUGUGGAGGAAUACCGAUGGCGAAGGCAGCCCCCUGGGAUGAUACUGACGCUCAUGCACGAAAGCGUGGGGAGCAAACA